GGAUGAUCUGAGUACUGUGGUGUUUACAGUGUAAUUGGUCACAACCAGUUACAGGUUUCUUUGUUCCUUCUCUACUCCCACUGCUUCAUUUGAUUAGUCUUUU
This is an unclassified non-coding RNA of Otolemur garnettii (small-eared galago), 103 nucleotides long. It matches the Rfam family "Y RNA". Rfam says of the family: Y RNAs are components of the Ro ribonucleoprotein particle (Ro RNP), in association with Ro60 and La proteins. The Y RNAs and Ro60 and La proteins are well conserved, but the function of the Ro RNP is not known. The record is from Ensembl. Lineage: Eukaryota; Metazoa; Chordata; Mammalia; Primates; Galagidae.